This 484-nucleotide ribosomal RNA is filed under the name uncultured bacterium. RNAcentral's name for it is "partial 16S ribosomal RNA". It matches the Rfam family "Bacterial small subunit ribosomal RNA", at positions 30 to 507 of the family's 1533-position model. The record is from RNAcentral.
AUUGAACGCUGGCGGCAGGCCUAACACAUGCAAGUCGAGCGGAUGAAGGGAGCUUGCUCCUGGAUUCAGCGGCGGACGGGUGAGUAAUGCCUAGGAAUCUGCCUGGUAGUGGGGGAUAACGUCCGGAAACGGGCGCUAAUACCGCAUACGUCCUGAGGGAGAAAGAGGGGGAUCUUCGGACCUCACGCUAUCAGAUGAGCCUAGGUCGGAUUAGCUAGUUGGUGGGGUAAAGGCCUACCAAGGCGACGAUCCGUAACUGGUCUGAGAGGAUGAUCAGUCACACUGGAACUGAGACACGGUCCAGCCUCCUACGGGAGGCAGCAGUGGGGAAUAUUGGACAAUGGGCGAAAGCCUGCUCCAGCCAUGCCGCGUGUGUGAAGAAGGUCUUCGGAUUGUAAAGCACUUUAAGUUGGGAGGAAGGGCAGUAAGUUAAUACCUUGCUGUUUUGACGUUACCAACAGAAUAAGCACCGGCUAACUUCGUG